CUAUAGGGAAUGGAGCUUCCUUCAGUCCAGUCCGAGACAGGUUAAGGCUGAUAUUGCAGCUGCUGACUCGUUGGUUCAUGAACUCAUCGAAGUGUUGGAUGAAAGAUGUGUUUUUGAUCCAAUGAUGCAGGAGCUGUGUUCAGUUAUUACUGUCACGUCUUGGACUGAAGGGAGCUCCCUACUGUAUUUGC
Molecule: microRNA precursor, 191 nt
Filed under: Olea europaea subsp. europaea
Lineage: Eukaryota; Viridiplantae; Streptophyta; Magnoliopsida; Lamiales; Oleaceae
Description: MIR159 microRNA precursor family
Rfam family: MIR159 microRNA precursor family
Source: Rfam by way of RNAcentral